GGUUAAGCGACUAAGCGUACACGGUGGAUGCCCUGGCAGUCAGAGGCGAUGAAGGACGUGCUAAUCUGCGAUAAGCGUCGGUAAGGUGAUAUGAACCGUUAUAACCGGCGAUUUCCGAAUGGGGAAACCCAGUGUGAUUCGUCACACUAUCAUUAACUGAAUCCAUAGGUUAAUGAGGCGAACCGGGGGAACUGAAACAUCUAAGUACCCCGAGGAAAAGAAAUCAACCGAGAUUCCCCCAGUAGCGGCGAGCGAACGGGGAGCAGCCCAGAGCCUGAAUCAGUGUGUGUGUUAGUGGAAGCGUCUGGAAAGGCGCGCGAUACAGGGUGACAGCCCCGUACACAAAAAUGCACAUGCUGUGAGCUCGAUGAGUAGGGCGGGACACGUGGUAUCCUGUCUGAAUAUGGGGGGACCAUCCUCCAAGGCUAAAUACUCCUGACUGACCGAUAGUGAACCAGUACCGUGAGGGAAAGGCGAAAAGAACCCCGGCGAGGGGAGUGAAAAAGAACCUGAAACCGUGUACGUACAAGCAGUGGGAGCACGCUUAGGCGUGUGACUGCGUACCUUUUGUAUAAUGGGUCAGCGACUUAUAUUCUGUAGCAAGGUUAACCGAAUAGGGGAGCCGAAGGGAAACCGAGUCUUAACUGGGCGUUAAGUUGCAGGGUAUAGACCCGAAACCCGGUGAUCUAGCCAUGGGCAGGUUGAAGGUUGGGUAACACUAACUGGAGGACCGAACCGACUAAUGUUGAAAAAUUAGCGGAUGACUUGUGGCUGGGGGUGAAAGGCCAAUCAAACCGGGAGAUAGCUGGUUCUCCCCGAAAGCUAUUUAGGUAGCGCCUCGUGAAUUCAUCUCCGGGGGUAGAGCACUGUUUCGGCAAGGGGGUCAUCCCGACUUACCAACCCGAUGCAAACUGCGAAUACCGGAGAAUGUUAUCACGGGAGACACACGGCGGGUGCUAACGUCCGUCGUGAAGAGGGAAACAACCCAGACCGCCAGCUAAGGUCCCAAAGUCAUGGUUAAGUGGGAAACGAUGUGGGAAGGCCCAGACAGCCAGGAUGUUGGCUUAGAAGCAGCCAUCAUUUAAAGAAAGCGUAAUAGCUCACUGGUCGAGUCGGCCUGCGCGGAAGAUGUAACGGGGCUAAACCAUGCACCGAAGCUGCGGCAGCGACGCUGAUGCGUUGUUGGGUAGGGGAGCGUUCUGUAAGCCUGUGAAGGUGUACUGUGAGGUAUGCUGGAGGUAUCAGAAGUGCGAAUGCUGACAUAAGUAACGAUAAAGCGGGUGAAAAGCCCGCUCGCCGGAAGACCAAGGGUUCCUGUCCAACGUUAAUCGGGGCAGGGUGAGUCGACCCCUAAGGCGAGGCCGAAAGGCGUAGUCGAUGGGAAACAGGUUAAUAUUCCUGUACUUGGUGUUACUGCGAAGGGGGGACGGAGAAGGCUAUGUUGGCCGGGCGACGGUUGUCCCGGUUUAAGCGUGUAGGCUGGUUUUCCAGGCAAAUCCGGAAAAUCAAGGCUGAGGCGUGAUGACGAGGCACUACGGUGCUGAAGCAACAAAUGCCCUGCUUCCAGGAAAAGCCUCUAAGCAUCAGGUAACAUCAAAUCGUACCCCAAACCGACACAGGUGGUCAGGUAGAGAAUACCAAGGCGCUUGAGAGAACUCGGGUGAAGGAACUAGGCAAAAUGGUGCCGUAACUUCGGGAGAAGGCACGCUGAUAUGUAGGUGAAGUCCCUCGCGGAUGGAGCUGAAAUCAGUCGAAGAUACCAGCUGGCUGCAACUGUUUAUUAAAAACACAGCACUGUGCAAACACGAAAGUGGACGUAUACGGUGUGACGCCUGCCCGGUGCCGGAAGGUUAAUUGAUGGGGUCAGCGCAAGCGAAGCUCUUGAUCGAAGCCCCGGUAAACGGCGGCCGUAACUAUAACGGUCCUAAGGUAGCGAAAUUCCUUGUCGGGUAAGUUCCGACCUGCACGAAUGGCGUAAUGAUGGCCAGGCUGUCUCCACCCGAGACUCAGUGAAAUUGAACUCGCUGUGAAGAUGCAGUGUACCCGCGGCAAGACGGAAAGACCCCGUGAACCUUUACUAUAGCUUGACACUGAACAUUGAGCCUUGAUGUGUAGGAUAGGUGGGAGGCUUUGAAGUGUGGACGCCAGUCUGCAUGGAGCCGACCUUGAAAUACCACCCUUUAAUGUUUGAUGUUCUAACGUGGACCCGUAAUCCGGGUUGCGGACAGUGUCUGGUGGGUAGUUUGACUGGGGCGGUCUCCUCCUAAAGAGUAACGGAGGAGCACGAAGGUUGGCUAAUCCUGGUCGGACAUCAGGAGGUUAGUGCAAUGGCAUAAGCCAGCUUGACUGCGAGCGUGACGGCGCGAGCAGGUGCGAAAGCAGGUCAUAGUGAUCCGGUGGUUCUGAAUGGAAGGGCCAUCGCUCAACGGAUAAAAGGUACUCCGGGGAUAACAGGCUGAUACCGCCCAAGAGUUCAUAUCGACGGCGGUGUUUGGCACCUCGAUGUCGGCUCAUCACAUCCUGGGGCUGAAGUAGGUCCCAAGGGUAUGGCUGUUCGCCAUUUAAAGUGGUACGCGAGCUGGGUUUAGAACGUCGUGAGACAGUUCGGUCCCUAUCUGCCGUGGGCGCUGGAGAACUGAGGGGGGCUGCUCCUAGUACGAGAGGACCGGAGUGGACGCAUCACUGGUGUUCGGGUUGUCAUGCCAAUGGCACUGCCCGGUAGCUAAAUGCGGAAGAGAUAAGUGCUGAAAGCAUCUAAGCACGAAACUUGCCCCGAGAUGAGUUCUCCCUGACUCCUUGAGAGUCCUGAAGGAACGUUGAAGACGACGACGUUGAUAGGCCGGGUGUGUAAGCGCAGCGAUGCGUUGAGCUAACCGGUACUAAUGAACCGUGAGGCUUAACCUU
RNAcentral lists this ribosomal RNA (2904 nucleotides) under Escherichia coli. Its description in RNAcentral is "23S ribosomal RNA". It matches the Rfam family "Bacterial large subunit ribosomal RNA". Lineage: Bacteria; Pseudomonadati; Pseudomonadota; Gammaproteobacteria; Enterobacterales; Enterobacteriaceae. The record is from RNAcentral.